AUAUGACCCCUGUCUUCAUGUGUCUCGUAUUCAUGUUUCUGUUUCCUCAUCUCUCUCUUGAGUGGGUUGUAACCCUCAUUUGAGCUUUCUGUUCAGUAAAGCGCAAUAGGUAGAGACUAGAGGGUGGCCAUUGGUGUUUAAUGUGAACUUUCUUGAUCUUUCAAGUUUCCAAGGUGUACAUGAGACCAGGGGAGAAAGCCUCUGAGCCGUCAGCUCUGCCUGCAGCUCCAGUCAAAGGUAUCUGCCUUACCUCACACUUUGGAGUUCUGUCACAUUAGUGUCAUUUAUUUCUCUAAACUAAAUAAACUAAUGCUUUAGAUAUUCUUGAUAUUUGUCUUUGCAAUGGUCAGAAAAUUGAAAUCAGUGAUAAUUUUUUAAAGUACCUGAAGUGAAGGAGUUAAAGCCUGAGGUAACUGUUGCUGCUCUGCCUCGGAGAGAAGAACCCACAACUCCACAAGAGUCUAUGGUAUACACUGAGCCAGAGCCCAAGCCACCAACAGCAGAGCUAAAAAUGGUUCUUCCCCAGCCCAAAGGGGCCAAAGUGAAGCCUGAACCUGAAUCACCUAAAAUUGAACCUGUCAAGAAACCUAUGGAAUCUCCUAAACCAAGAGCACAAGAACCACCAAAACCAAAGGAGCCUGCUGUUCAGCUGCCUACAACCAAGAUUACUCCCUCAACACUGGAAUGUGUAAGCACUAAAGGUAUUGAUCAAGAUCUUCAAUUGUCCUAAAUAAUUCCCUUUUGAAUCUUCUUUUAGUCUUUGAAUACAAUUAUAGAGAGUGUCAUCUUUGACUGCAUAUUAGUGUUGGGCAUCACUGUUGGUUAAACUAUACGCAAUGUUUCUUACCUGCAAGAUUUAUCCGGACCAGAGGAACCUGUAGUUUAUGCAUCGGCACCAAUGGUCAUUCCAGCCAAGGCUGAAGCUGGGACAAACAAAGGUACUGCAAAGAUCAGGUUGAUGAAGGCCUUGCUGCCCUGCUUUGUUUUGCCGGUGUAUUAUUAAGUGAAAUCUCAGCUUUUCAAACGUUCUUUUUUGAUCAUCUUUAAAUGUGCUAAGCACUCAUUGGAGUGGAAGUAGCACUUUUUACUUUUUUCCCCAAUAUGGUAGAUGGUAAGAUAAUAAUUUUGUAUAUAUGCAUGUUCUUCUAAGUUAUCUCACAGCCAA
RNAcentral lists this long non-coding RNA (1165 nucleotides) under Betta splendens (Siamese fighting fish). Its description in RNAcentral is "lncRNA (ENSBSLG00000025527.1)". The record is from RNAcentral. Lineage: Eukaryota; Metazoa; Chordata; Actinopteri; Anabantiformes; Osphronemidae.